GACGAACGCUGGCGGCGUGCUUAACACAUGCAAGUCGAACGGAAAGGCCCUGCUUUUGUGGGGUGCUCAAGUGGCGAACGGGUGAGUAACACGUGAGUAACCUGCCCUUGACUUUGGGAUAACUUCAGGAAACUGGGGCUAAUACCGGAUAGGAGCUCCUGCUGCAUGGUGGGGGUUGGAAAGUUUCGGCGGUUGGGGAUGGACUCGCGGCUUAUCAGCUUGUUGGUGGGGUAGUGGCUUACCAAGGCUUUGACGGGUAGCCGGCCUGAGAGGGUGACCGGCCACAUUGGGACUGAGAUACGGCCCAGACUCCUACGGGAGGCAGCAGUGGGGAAUAUUGCACAAUGGGCGGAAGCCUGAUGCAGCAACGCCGCGUGCGGGAUGACGUCCUUCGGGUUGUAAACCGCUUUCGCCUGUGACGAAGCGUGAGUGACGGUAAUGGGUAAAGAAGCACCGGCUAACUACGUG
This 468-nucleotide ribosomal RNA is filed under the name uncultured bacterium. RNAcentral describes it as "partial 16S ribosomal RNA". It matches the Rfam family "Bacterial small subunit ribosomal RNA", at positions 28 to 507 of the family's 1533-position model. The record is from RNAcentral.